Lotus japonicus is the source of this 946-nucleotide long non-coding RNA. RefSeq lists it as uncharacterized. The record is from RefSeq and is a predicted model, not a curated record. The transcript is spliced from 3 exons. Lineage: Eukaryota; Viridiplantae; Streptophyta; Magnoliopsida; Fabales; Fabaceae.
CCUCUUUUUCUCUUAUUCACGUCUUCUUUUCCUCACCACUCUCUUUACUCUCAUUUUCAAUUGGUUUCUGCAGCAAUUUAUAAUCCUUGUUCCUUUCAUCUUGUUCUCAUCACCAAUCUCAUCUCGUUCAUUUUCUUUGUGGCAGCGCCCACACACAACUGUGCCUUUUUCCUUCAUGAUCAAGCCACCACCUUGGUUCUCUCUUCACCCACGCAAGGCACAAACCACCACCACCUCUAAGGCAUUUUCAUGGGUAAGAAGGACGGAAGCGCUUGACGACGAAGCCAAAGAACAAACGGAAGUGAGCCAACACGGGAAAGCAAAGAUAUGACUGGAUUUGAUUUGAGUCGCAACUUAGUAAGGAAAGCGCCGAAGAUGUCGAUGGUCGACUGGUUCUCGACGGUCUCUCCCUCGGGGGAGAUCAGAUACGAGCUGCUGGAUCGGGAUGCCCCCACCGCUUGGGUGAUCGAUGUAGCGGGUCACCGGGCGACGUAUCGGGGAAGGGUCAUGGAGGACCGGACUGACGAGCGUGGACGUCUGACGAAAGGAGUUCUAUGGCGCAUAGAGUUGAGCUUCAACUUGCCGACUUCAGAUCGUUGUGGGUUUGGCACUGGGAGGUUAGGUUUGGGCAGGCGUCAUGUUUUGUGUAGAGCUCUGAUUCGUUUUGCUUUUGGGAUCGGGUAGGUUCCGACGCAUGACUUUUCGUGUGGUUCUCUUACUGAGGGAUCACAGUGAGUCAGUUGGACCAUAGGGGUCUUUGCUUAGGCCAUAUUGAGGCCGACUUUCUCCUAGUGGUUUGUAAUUUUAAUUUUCUCACUUACACUUCUGGGUCUGUAGAUAUUUGCCUACGGGCACACUGCUUUGGAGUCACUGCGAGUGCGCGUGACGUGGGAGUGCAGCUGAGGCUGUACAUGUUUAUAUUUGAUGUAUGUUGGUUAGUUUAGUA